Molecule: non-coding RNA, 73 nt
Organism: Spironucleus salmonicida
Lineage: Eukaryota; Fornicata; Diplomonadida; Hexamitidae
Source: Rfam
GCCUGUUUAGCUCAGAUGGUAGAGCGUCAGACUGAAGUUCUGUCGGUCCUUGGUUCGAUUCCUAGAACAGGUA